CCUACGGGGGGCAGCAGUGGGGAAUAUUGCGCAAUGGGCGAAAGCCUGACGCAGCGACGCCGCGUGAGGGAUGAAGGUCUUCGGAUCGUAAACCUCUGUCAGCAGGGAAGAACGGUCACUGUGCUAAUCAGCAGUGAAUUGACGGUACCUGCAAAGGAAGCACCGGCUAACUCCGUGCCAGCAGCCGCGGUAAUACGGAGGGUGCGAGCGUUAAUCGGAAUUACUGGGCGUAAAGCGCUCGUAGGCGGUAUGUCAAGUCAAGGGUGAAAUCCCCGCGCUCAACGUGGGAACUGCCUUUGAAACUGGCAAACUGGAGUGUGUGAGAGGAUAGUGGAAUUCCAGGUGUAGGGGUGAAAUGCGUAGAUAUCUGGAGGAACAUCAGAGGCGAAGGCGACUAUCUGGCACAUAACUGACGCUGAGGAGCGAAAGCGUGGGUAGCAAACAGGAUUAGAUACCCUUGUAGUC
RNAcentral lists this ribosomal RNA (465 nucleotides) under uncultured bacterium. Its description in RNAcentral is "partial 16S ribosomal RNA". It matches the Rfam family "Bacterial small subunit ribosomal RNA", at positions 338 to 795 of the family's 1533-position model. The record is from RNAcentral.